UUUAGUUUUCUUAGAGGAGGAAGCAAAGUUCCGAAAGAGAAGAGAGAAGAGAGGAGGUGUGAAUGCACUAGGCAAGGACAGUCUGAGUGCCUGACUCACCGGAAGUUUCCUAACAUGCAAUUAAAGUGAAACCAGAGUGCGGAUACUGCAGCGGCAACACUGAAUGGGGGAGUAGGAGAGAUGUGGAUUUCCUUAGGCACGUGGUCUUUCCAAACCAUGGAUUGAGAGAGGCAGAGAAGGCUGUGAGCAAGCCCAGCGCUGGACGACUACUUCCUCUGGAGGUGACCUGUUCUUUCUGCCUGGAACCUGUGAGAUUUUCUCAUCAUCCUUGAGGUUCAGGAAUUUCACCAGGUGAAAGAUUCUAGGUAUACUUUUUGUUGAGGAAGAUUGGCCCUGAGCUAACAUCUGUUGCCAAUCUUCUUCUUUUUUUU
This 431-nucleotide long non-coding RNA is filed under the name Equus asinus (donkey). Its description in RNAcentral is "lncRNA (ENSEASG00005031918.1)". Lineage: Eukaryota; Metazoa; Chordata; Mammalia; Perissodactyla; Equidae. The record is from RNAcentral.